This 1177-nucleotide ribosomal RNA is filed under the name Streptomyces sp. AV247. RNAcentral describes it as "bacterial SSU rRNA". It matches the Rfam family "Bacterial small subunit ribosomal RNA", at positions 143 to 1327 of the family's 1533-position model. The record is from RNAcentral. Lineage: Bacteria; Bacillati; Actinomycetota; Actinomycetes; Kitasatosporales; Streptomycetaceae.
ACAAGCCCUGGAAACGGGGUCUAAUACCGGAUAUGAGCCUGGGAGGCAUCUCCCGGGUUGUAAAGCUCCGGCGGUGAAGGAUGAGCCCGCGGCCUAUCAGCUUGUUGGUGAGGUAAUGGCUCACCAAGGCGACGACGGGUAGCCGGCCUGAGAGGGCGACCGGCCACACUGGGACUGAGACACGGNCCANACUNAUACGGGAGGCAGCAGUGGGGAAUAUUGCACAAUGGGCGAAAGCCUGAUGCAGCGACGCCGCGUGAGGGAUGACGGCCUUCGGGUUGUAAACCUCUUUCAGCAGGGAAGAAGCGAAAGUGACGGUACCUGCAGAAGAAGCGCCGGCUAACUACGUGCCAGCAGCCGCGGUAAUACGUAGGGCGCAAGCGUUGUCCGGAAUUAUUGGGCGUAAAGAGCUCGUAGGCGGCUUGUCACGUCGAUUGUGAAAGCCCGAGGCUUAACCUCGGGUCUGCAGUCGAUACGGGCUAGCUAGAGUGUGGUAGGGGAGAUCGGAAUUCCUGGUGUAGCGGUGAAAUGCGCAGAUAUCAGGAGGAACACCGGUGGCGAAGGCGGAUCUCUGGGCCAUUACUGACGCUGAGGAGCGAAAGCGUGGGGAGCGAACAGGAUUAGAUACCCUGGUAGUCCACGCCGUAAACGGUGGGAACUAGGUGUUGGCGACAUUCCACGUCGUCGGUGCCGCAGCUAACGCAUUAAGUUCCCCGCCUGGGGAGUACGGCCGCAAGGCUAAAACUCAAAGGAAUUGACGGGGGCCCGCACAAGCGGCGGAGCAUGUGGCUUAAUUCGACGCAACGCGAAGAACCUUACCAAGGCUUGACAUACACCGGAAACGUCUGGAGACAGGCGCCCCCUUGUGGUCGGUGUACAGGUGGUGCAUGGCUGUCGUCAGCUCGUGUCGUGAGAUGUUGGGUUAAGUCCCGCAACGAGCGCAACCCUUGUUCUGUGUUGCCAGCAUGCCCUUCGGGGUGAUGGGGACUCACAGGAGACCGCCGGGGUCAACUCGGAGGAAGGUGGGGACGACGUCAAGUCAUCAUGCCCCUUAUGUCUUGGGCUGCACACGUGCUACAAUGGCCGGUACAAUGAGCUGCGAUACCGUGAGGUGGAGCGAAUCUCAAAAAGCCGGUCUCAGUUCGGAUUGGGGUCUGCAACUCGACCCCAUGAAGUA